Molecule: ribosomal RNA, 253 nt
Filed under: uncultured prokaryote
Description: partial 16S ribosomal RNA
Rfam family: Bacterial small subunit ribosomal RNA
Source: RNAcentral
UACGAAGGGGGCUAGCGUUGUUCGGAUUCACUGGGCGUAAAGGGUGCGUAGGUGGUCGGGUAAGUCUGAUGUGAAAUCUCCGAGCUUAACUCGGAAAUGGCAUUGGAAACUACCUUGCUCGAGGGUUGGAGGGGGGACUGGAAUUCUCGGUGUAGCAGUGAAAUGCGUAGAUAUCGAGAGGAACACCAGUGGCGAAGGCGAGUCCCUGGACAACUCCUGACACUGAGGCACGAAAGCUAGGGGAGCAAACAGG